AGCUUCGUUGCUCAGCUGGUAGAGCACUUGCCGGGUUGAGGCACCCUGUGUCUGCCGCUGGUUCGAAUCCAGCCGAAGCCC
This 81-nucleotide transfer RNA is filed under the name Paragonimus westermani. RNAcentral describes it as "tRNA-Leu". It matches the Rfam family "tRNA". Rfam says of the family: Transfer RNA (tRNA) molecules are approximately 80 nucleotides in length. Their secondary structure includes four short double-helical elements and three loops (D, anti-codon, and T loops). Lineage: Eukaryota; Metazoa; Platyhelminthes; Trematoda; Plagiorchiida; Troglotrematidae. The record is from RNAcentral.